Molecule: long non-coding RNA, 1268 nt
Organism: Canis lupus familiaris (dog)
Lineage: Eukaryota; Metazoa; Chordata; Mammalia; Carnivora; Canidae
Exons: 5
Source: RefSeq, a predicted model, not a curated record
GUCUCCGCUGCCGCCCCGAAGGCAAAGCCCGCCCAGCCUGGGGCCAAGCCAGUCCUCGGACGGGGCAGUGACCCAGCUCUCGACCACCCCGCGCCCUCCCUUGGCCGCAGGCGCCCUGCCCAGACGGACGGCGGGAGGAGCAAGGUCUAAAUUACACAAAAUUGAGUUGGGGACAGCAAAAGAAAAAAAAAAUACCAUGAGUGCUAAUAAGAAAAAGAAACAAUGAAGAAAGAAGGGAUUAAGCGGAUUGCAGCAUUAUGCAGCAGAUCUGUCAGCAGGGCUCAGGUGGACCUACUCAGAAAGCCUGGUAGGUGCUCCAAAGGGCUAACACAUUCACAGUCCUUCUUCAAGAAUGUGCAGACACUGGCCAAAGAGCAAGAGAGCGCAUGCACACGUACAUGCUUGAGCAGGGGGAAGGAGUAGAAGAGAGAAGAAUUUAAGUUUCAUCAGGGGAGGAGAGCAUCCAUACUGAUCACAGCUGAUUCCCUGGAGCUAACAAGUGUCUGGUACUUCCAAGGUACUCAAUAAAAUGUUUUGAAUUGACUUGCAUUUAGUUAUCUGAGGAGGAGUCAUAAAUUUGACCUUCCUUCUUUCUGAUACUGCAAAAGAGACACCUGAAAGAUGGCAAUUGGGGGGGGGGGGAGUUAAAUGACAAAUAUGACCAGCUUGAUCCUAAGGCCACAGUUUCACUAUGGGGCUAGUCAUAGUAUAAAAUGUGAAUUCCAUUUCCCUAGAGUCUGACAUAGUGCUAGUAGAAUAUGUUUUGGUCUUCCUAGUCAUUGUCUGAGCAUUGUGCUUUUCUUCUUUGGGUCUGAUGAUGGACUCAGGUGCCCUGAAUUAAGUGAUUUGAUUGUUUUCUAUUUAAUGUAGUACUACGAGAAGCCAGAAGUUAUGCUUUUUUAAAAAAUUGAUAUAUAAUUCACAUACUAUGUAUCCACUCUUUUCAAGUGUGAAUUCAAAUUCAGUGAUUUUUUUUUGGUGAUUUUUAAAUAUAUGUACAAAGUAUGCAAUCAUCCCACUUAUCUAAUUUCAGAAUAUUAUCAUCAUCCCUUACCCCAAACCUGUAUUCAUUAGCACUCACUUAUCUUUGCUUUCUCCUUCCAGCCUCUGGCAACCACUAAUGUACUCUCUGUCUUCAUGGAUUUGCCUAUGGUGGACAUUACUAUAAAUGGAAUUAUACAAUAUGCGAUCUUUUGUGUCUGACUUCUUAUGCUAAGCAUAAUGUUUUCAUCCAUUUAUAGCAUAUAUCAGUACUUCCAUUUCUCUCU